RNAcentral lists this ribosomal RNA (253 nucleotides) under uncultured bacterium. Its description in RNAcentral is "partial 16S ribosomal RNA". It matches the Rfam family "Bacterial small subunit ribosomal RNA", at positions 524 to 776 of the family's 1533-position model. The record is from RNAcentral.
UACGGGGGGGGCAAGCGUUGUUCGGAAUUACUGGGCGUAAAGGGCUUGUAGGUGGCCAACUAAGUCAGACGUGAAAUCCCUCAGCUUAACUGGGGAACUGCGUCUGAUACUGGAUGGCUUGAGUUUGGGAGAGGGAUGCGGAAUUCCAGGUGUAGCGGUGAAAUGCGCAGAUAUCAGGAGGAACACCGGUGGCGAAGGCGGGUCUCUGGGCCGAUACUGACGCUGAGGAGCGAAAGCGUGGGGAGCGAACAGG